This 453-nucleotide long non-coding RNA is filed under the name Setaria italica (foxtail millet). RNAcentral's name for it is "long non-coding RNA (SITA_LNC005648)". The record is from RNAcentral. Lineage: Eukaryota; Viridiplantae; Streptophyta; Magnoliopsida; Poales; Poaceae.
GUUGGAUCCGCUAGUUCCUUACGCUGAACUACUCGUCAAAUUGGGGAUCGACAAUGGUUUUGUAGACUCCGCUUUGGCAAACAGUUCCACGGUUGAGACGUCAUCUUGCGUCUUGGAUCUUGUGAACGCAUUCGCCAUGAAAUUCCUGAUGAAGAGAUGAACCGCUAGGACAGGCGAUUUACAUCUGAUGUUUCCCUCAAGUCGACGGAAUGGGAGCCAGAGAUAGAAUUCACAAUUGCCUCGUCGGAUGUUGCAGUCUGGUAACUGGUUCCUUCUGUGUAUGGUGUAUGCGACCCUGACUGCGUGCCAUGACUUUAACAGGCAGACGCAGACGGUCUCAAUCGUAGGGACGACCAGGUAGGGCAAUUGUGCUUCCUGCUAGGCGCUGAAUCCCUUUUGCCUCCUAUUCCAAAUUUGCUAGUUGAUCAUUCCCUGUCUUUUCAUACUCAUACU